This 483-nucleotide ribosomal RNA is filed under the name uncultured bacterium. Its description in RNAcentral is "partial 16S ribosomal RNA". It matches the Rfam family "Bacterial small subunit ribosomal RNA", at positions 28 to 507 of the family's 1533-position model. The record is from RNAcentral.
GACGAAUGCUGGCGGCGUGCUUAACACAUGCAAGUCGAACGCUGAAGCUCAGCUUUUGUUGGGUGGAUGAGUGGCGAACGGGUGAGUAACACGUGAGUAACCUGCCUCCUUCUUUGGGAUAACGCCCGGAAACGGGUGCUAAUACUGGAUAUUCACUGGUCUUCGCAUGGGGGUUGGUGGAAAGGGUUUUUCUGGUGGGGGAUGGGCUCGCGGCCUAUCAGCUUGUUGGUGGGGUGAUGGCCUACCAAGGCUUUGACGGGUAGCCGGCCUGAGAGGGUGACCGGUCACAUUGGGACUGAGAUACGGCCCAGACUCCUACGGGAGGCAGCAGUGGGGAAUAUUGCACAAUGGGCGCAAGCCUGAUGCAGCGACGCCGCGUGAGGGAUGGAGGCCUUCGGGUUGUGAACCUCUUUCGCUCAUGGUCAAGCCGCAACAAUGGUUGUGGUGAGGGUAGUGGGUAAAGAAGCGCCGGCUAACUACGUG